CAGUAGCCACGGGAAUACGGAGGGUGCAAGCGUUAAUCGGAAUUACUGGGCGUAAAGCGCACGCAGGCGGUCUGACAAGUCAGAUGUGAAAUCCCCGGGCUUAACCUGGGAACUGCAUUUGAAACUGUCAGGCUGGAGUCUUGUAGAGGGGGGUGGAAUUCCAGGUGUAGCGGUGAAAUGCGUAGAGAUCUGGAGGAAUACCGGUGGCGAAGGCGGCCCCCUGGACAAAGACUGACGCUCAGGUGCGAAAGCGUGGGGAGCAAACAGGAUUAGAUACCCGAGUAGUCCCUGUCUCUUAUAC
This 301-nucleotide ribosomal RNA is filed under the name uncultured bacterium. RNAcentral's name for it is "partial 16S ribosomal RNA". It matches the Rfam family "Bacterial small subunit ribosomal RNA", at positions 509 to 807 of the family's 1533-position model. The record is from RNAcentral.